AAAAAAAAAAACCUCAGCUUCUCAGGCAUUAGAUGGAGGCAACUCUUGUGACAUUAAAAUAAACCCUAAGCUUAGUUUGCAGUAAAAUAUAUGCCAACCGCAUUUCGACUUACAAUUAAGAGGAGAGGUAAUUGACUAGGGUAAUUUUGUCCAGAUCAUAUUUUACUUUCUUUUCUGAAUCCUGAUGCUGUUGCAAACAAAUUGCCUUUUUGAGAUGUGCAUGAUGACGCCCACCCCAAGUAUUGUAUUGAUCACAAGGAACAAAACUUGGUAUUUACAUCUUCAUUACUCCCCUAAAGUUCCACUUCAUGAAGCUCAUCUCCAAUACUGCUACCAUUCAUUGGCAUAUGAGUCAUAGAAGGAUCACCAGGCAUGAAAGAUGAAGGAGGCAUGCCCAGUGCCUCUCCUAAAGGUUUGGUUUCCACCAUUUUUGGGGGGCUAAACGCAUCAUUGAAACUUCCACUCCAUGAUGCUGUCCGUCGAGAGUGAGAUGACAUGGGUACAUUGCCAUUGCCAUUUAUUGCUCUCUCCCUUGUAAUAUUAUCCAUGCUUGGGAAUCUUUGCAAGUUCAUUUUUGAAAAGGAUGAGGAAGAUUGGAAAGAGUCAUCAACAGAUGUUGAAGGACUUUCAGCUAAUCCUGUACUUUCUUGUACAUUUUCAGCUAUAGUUUCUGUUGAAUUUUCACUUGAUAGAAGAGGCGUGGGAAUAAAAAACUUAGCAUUUGCAGACACAGCAGGUUUGACAGAUGGAACAGAAGGUGACCGGAAUAAAUUUGCCGAGCUUCCACCUCCUUGGUUGAAGGUGUCAACAUACCUUGCUCGUACACCCAUCCGCCCACGAGCUGAGAACUGAUUUGAACUGGUUGGAAUAGGUGGAAUCCCUGAAGAGUGCUCCACAGGAUUUGGGGUCUUAGAUGUUGGGCUCCCAUUAGUGGGAGAUCCAUCACUCUUUAGUGCAGAUUUCAAGUUGUAGUCAGACAUUCCAUUCUGGAAGGCUGAAGUUGUUGGAGGGGGUUGCAAGACUGCUUCUUCAGUUGGGGGUUCAGCACCUUCUUCUACCCAUCUCUUAAGCUUUUCAUCAUAAUAGAAUUUGUUCUUUUCACCCAAUUUAGCCUGUCGAUCUGAACGGGGCCUUAAAACUAGCCCUACGGUCUUUUGCAAAAGCUGUGAACCAAAACCAAAACGACCAAAGCGAGAUGCCGUGCCUGAACCUGACGUUUUGCUUUGUGCACUAGAUGAGGUUCCUUCCUUUGGCGACUCAACCUGUCUUGGAGUUCUACCAAUAUCUGGCUCAGAAACACUUCUGUUAUGCAUUGUCAUUCUAUUGCCAUCAGCUGCCCAUUCACUUAUGGGCUCCAUUGAAGCAGAAGGCAUUAAUGAUGACAUGGCCAUUGUCGACUGACUAGCUGAUACCCUAGGCACCAUUGGCUGGUGAUGAUGCUCAUUACCUUGUGACGUUGUUGGUACAGGUGGUGGUAGACCCCCAACAACACGGUGUGCAGUAGUAUCAAAAAAGUUGAGCAAUUUACCUACUAACUUUGCUGGAGCCAAAUUUGCAGUGUAUCCGCCCUGUUGAUGGGUUCUAAUCCUCUCCUCAAGGGAUAAUACUAAUUGUUUCCAUGUUUCCACUUCUUGAGCACGACCAGUCUUUAGAGAUUUUAAUAUUGCCUGACAGUACUUUAACGAAUCAGAAACUUUGCCCACUUCAGCCAGCAUAUAUGCAUAUAUCAACUUAUAUGGCUGAAAUGGUAGCAGGAUAUACUGGGAGUUGCCAAGCACCUUUGAAUAUUCGUACAAUUCAGUUCUCUGAAUAGCUUCUGGAUUAGCAUAGGUCCGAGGAUGCUUCCAGUGGUCUGCUCCAAUAAGACACAGUCUUGCACUGUCUGAAUAUGAUUCAAAGUUGGUUUCCGCCACUAAAUAGCAUAUGUGAGCACCGGUAAUCUCACUUCUUUCCUUCCAUAGGCAAUCUCCAAGAUGUAUAAUCACAAGCUCAUCAUCUUUAGUUCUGUUUGCAGUUAUUACAGCCAAAUUCUCUUCCCAAUCAUCAAGCAUGCCAUUUGCCUCAAACUGCAGUUCAUUGCCAAACAUUGAUAAUUACUUCUGAAUAUAGAUAAAUAAAAACAUAAAAUUUUUUUUCCCUAGAGGAGAGGCAUUUGCAGGAAGAAAUAUCAUACAUCAUUUUUUUUCCCCUAGAGGAGAGGCAUUUACUGGAAGAAAUAUAGUAAAAUGAAAAGAUGGCAGUCACAUGACAGCUAUAUCAAGGCCUAUGAGCUCUUAGAACCAUAGUAGAAAGCAUUGAGAAGGCUUAGCAACAAAACAAAAAAAGAGGUAACUAAAUAACUGUUGCAAAUAAAUUUUAAUAAUAAUAAUGAUAAGCCAGCAGAAAUUUCAGGACCACACGAUCACAAGGGAAAUCAAUUUCAACAUCAUUAGAGAUGUUUCAAACGUACCUGACAUGUAGCAUGCAGUUCAGUUUGCCAUCAAGGUGUUACAAGUUAUGACAUCAAAUAAACCCAUCCUCUGCGACAUAUCUUUCAGAAGUCCUGCAAGAUCCAACGACCUGAACCACUGUUUCAAUGUUGCCCUCCUUGCAUUGCCAGUCAAUCGAAGUAGCAAAAUGUAAUGGCAUCAGGAACCAGGCUAACAUACUGGCCCGAAAUAUAUUACCCUUGUGAAGGAUAUUGGUAAUCCCUUUUUCAUUGAUCUCUUUAGACUACAUUAUGUUUCAAUUUAAAAUCCUCCACAACAACCCGUUUUACGCAAAUUGGGAGUGUUAACAGAAUCUAUCUACAAGCAAAAUAUCACAUGUACAUAACCCUAGAAUAAAUGAUAAAAUUUACUAAUUUUAAUUCACAAAUAAUUAACACAAAAAGCUACCCCCUCCUAUUCAUAGCAUAUCUCCAGUGGGCAUACAAAUCAGAAAAGCUUCAUGGUAAAAGAGUUAGUGACAAAGCAAAGUCAACCCAGCUUCUCUUGAUCGUAUCUGGGAUUUUCAGUUGUCAUUCCUGUGCUCAAACUUGUAUUUGUUCGACAAGAUCGUUUCCUGGGUUUCUUCAAUGAGGAAACAGCGAGAGGACCAAGGCUGAGUUGUUGUGCCAUGUCCGUAACUUCCUUCUCUGUUGCAACUGUUUUCAUGCUUGGUGUUGUCUUCCUGCAAGAUCUAUUGGGACGACAUGAAGCUAAGUUUUUGGCAAUAGGACAAACACUCAUUGCACACUCUUCAUGCUUAUCCUUUCUGCUUGGAGGAUCAACAGUCGCACAUGAUUCUAGAGUUAACCAAGAGCUGCUAGCAGCAUCCUUCCCCAGGCUUGUCAGACCCAACUCUAAGAAAGGACUGCCUUUCCCAGGGAUAGAAGUAUUGCUCUGAGGAUGAACAGGACUACUCCAUUCACAUUGUUUAUCACCACAAUCUGCAUCAGUUGCAAUUUUUUCUGUUGCCAAACUUGGAAGGUCCUAUUUACAACAUGAUCGAAUAGGAUGUCAAAUAACAUGAUGAAAGUAAAAAAAUGCAUUUUGAGAAAAGUAAUCAGUUUCCAAUAGAACAUGUUAGAAGCAUUUGUGAGGGGACGAGAAAGGAAGUGAACCAUGUUACUUCACCAAACCCCAGACAUCUACACAAACAACAUCAGAAAACAAGGAAACAUAGCAAUGUCUCCCACAAUGCAAAAGCAGCAAGACUAAACAAAAAUCAAAUAAUAGCUGUAGAAAGACAGUGGUAUAAUGAGUACGCCAAGCCCCAGUAGUUAAAAAAUAAAGUUCCAUCAUGUGAUGUGCAGUGAAUUACACAUAGAACAGCUCUGUAAAAUAGCGAAUCACUUGAUGCAUCAACAAAUUAAACUGUCAGUUUGAUUAGGACAUAAUUAUCAUAUGAUAGCAAUUCCAUUAAGUCAUGAGGAGUUCAAGCACUCAGCUGAAUAUCCUGUGUCUCUCAGGAUUCAAAAGUAGCCAAACACUAAUAAAACAGAGAGUAAAGUCACCUUAUAGUGCACCUCUGCAACUAGUUCACAGCCCAAACCCUCCUCCCCGUCAGAAUCAGCCAUCUCCUCACGUUCGAACUCUACAUGUUCUUCAAUUUCUUCAUCAGAGUCACUCAACUCUUCCUGUUCCAUCACAAUCUCUGGGUGAGACUGGUCCCCUAGGUCAUCCAUGUUGCAGCCGCUGUCAUUAUUGCUUGGGACAAUUGACGCAUCAGCACUAGCACCGUUUUGUUGGUGACAUGAAUUGUUAGUUUUGUGCUUUUCAAUUGUAUUUCCAGCAUUUGGUGCACUUAUUGUUGACUUUGGUUCAUUAUUUGCACCAAAAUCUCUACUUUCCUUAGUUUUCUCUUUUCUGGUCGUAGAACUUAGAUGGAUUUCCAAGUCCAGUUCAUUAGCUUUCUCAUUCGGAACAGAGGCUUUUGAGCCAGUAGCAGAUGGACUACUAUUGACCAGUGAUGUAGUCUGAACAGCAUCUAAAGUAUUUUGAAAUUGAGCAGAUUUGCCUCCCAAGCAAACAAAUUGGUGAGUAUUGGAGCAUGCUGUGGCAACGUCACUAUUUUCAUCAUCAGUUCUUUGCAAAAGAGGAUGGAAGUCAAUCCCACAUGAUGCUGCAGCAGAUUCCUUUGUCUUUGAAGAUUUAUUGAAACAACCAGAAAUGUGAUUUGCUUGGUGUGGACCAUGAACGAGACUCAGAUUCAACUGAGGCUGAUUUGCUGAAAAGAAUGUAAAAGAACUAGAAGUACCAGUUCUACAACUCGGUGGAAAAUAUGAUAGACGUCCAUCUUCAGGAGCUUGGAACAGUAACGGAUGCAUCUGAAGAUCUGAAUCAGCACCCCUCUCUUCAGCACCACAUGUAUCAUGGAGAACUGAAGAUUCUUCACGAUGUGAACUUGUUAGCUCUUCUGGGCAUGAAUUUGUGACAUCAUCUGUCACUUGAUUGCUUUUAUCCCUUUUAGCUUUUGCCAAACUGGUGGUUCUCAAAUUUGCAACAUGUGGAAGCUGAGGAACUAUAUUUUCUUUUCCAGCAUCACUAUUACUACCUCCUGAGGCAGAUACCUUUAUAGGCACUCUGCACUGGUUGCUUUUGAAAGCUGCUUGAGAAAUUACACGAACAGUUGGUGGAAGAUUUACAGGGGGCAAGUCUGGAGCCAAUUUCACUAAGUGUGCACCAUCAGUUAUACGAGUCCGAUAUGGCCACAAAUAAAUUUGAGACUUAGCAGCAUUUGGUGCUGUGUCAGAAACUUGGUGGUUCAGUUGCACAGAAUUAGGAGGACAAUGUCUAACAUGAGUAAAGUGUGACAUAUUAUGAGGAUAUUGAUAAUAACGAGCAUAUGGAAAGCCAUGCAUAUUAUCAAUCUGGGAUUGCUCCCUAAUGUGACUACCCUCUCUUAGCAAUGCACCACUAGGAAGGUUUUUGUCCCUAAGGUUUAAGCAGGAAUGGCAUGAUGCAUCUGGUCUCCAAUCUGCUAAAAAUGCCUGAUGAACAUAAGCGUCACUUGCAUGAUCUACAUAAUCAUCUCCACUAUUAUUUUCUCCACCUGUGCUGUCAACAUGAUUGUCCUCUUUGUCAGAUAUCCGUUGCCAGUUUGCCAAAUCUGCAGUUUUGCACUUUCUUCUAUUUGAUUCAUAUAUCCGUCGUUUUUCCUUUUUUGCAGCAUCUAAUUUAUAUGAUCUCUGAGUUCCAAGGGCAAUCCGCCACUGUCGGGCUAGUAAGGAUGGAUCCCUAUGUGGGACAAUGAAUCUCCAAACUGACAUCCAAUCAUGUUUAAAAACCCUGAGUCCCUCAUGAAUGCAUUCUAUCUCCUCUGCAGUCAAUGGAGAAGUUUUCAUCCUCCGAACUGCCUUUAUUGGAUUUUCUGGUGCUUUUGAUGAGCAACGAUUUUUCUGCCUAACAAAAAUCUGGUGCUUAGAUUUGCAAGGAAGAAAACGCUGUUGAAUUGCCUUCCAAUCUGUAUUAUGUUCCAUCAUUCCCAUAGCUAACAAUUCAUCCUCUGAAUCAGUGAAAAGGACUCGAUUUGCCACAGCUGCAGGAGGCGGCUUAUGAGGAAAUAGUGCUGGAUUGAACAGAGGAAAAAACCUCUGUGCUAACUUGCUAAUAUCUUUUGGAACUAAAGCAAUUGAUUGCUUCUUGGCAUUUUCAACAAUGGAAGCAGCCAAUGUCUUCUUAGGUGGUUGUUGAACAGGAGUAGAUGGCACUGCACUGACAGCAGUAGGUAUGUUUUCUUUUGAAACUUCACCAUUUGGCUUAGUUGAGGCUGGAAAAUGAGGAAGGUUAAAGAGUGGGGCCCUCUCAUUCCAGGUAUCACAACUAGAAUCCAAAUGACGCUGCCGAUAUUCCUGGACAGCAUUAAAAACAUCAUCCAUAUACCUUCCAACCAAAUUAAGCGGAGCUACAUCCAUAAUGGACAUUAUUGGACCACUCAUGAAGGGUACCCAUAAAGAAACAGCAGUUUGUGAGGAAUUAUUCUGUCCAUUGAAAACGGGAUCACUUCUUCCCUUAGCUGUAAAAAUGUUCUGAGAAACUAACAUCUGCAUGUUUGGAGUAGAAGAUGAGUCAGUGCAUUGUGCUGGGGUAUAGUUGGGAAAUUCAUCUGUCACUGAUGGGCACAUGUAGGAAGGGUGAAAGCAAAUACAAGGAUAAGGCACACUUCUGCAGGCGAUUACUUCAUCGUGUUUAUGAACCAUCUCAAAAAUCAAUCCCUGAACCUGGGAGGCAACCUGUUGCCGGGAAGGAUCAAGAAUGCUAAGAGAAAACACUUGAAUAAGUAGCUGCAUAUGUUCAUGUAUCAAACAAUACAACUGGCCUAUUUGCUGUGGAGUGAAUCCAUUUAUCAAGCCAUUUUCUGCUGGAGAAGACAGAUAACUUGGGGCAGUUUCAGGCAUCAAACCCUUCGCAUCAGAAGUAGGAAACGAAGCAAUUGCUCCAUUUGGCAAGAUUGGUAAAAGGGGACACAAUGGCCUCUUUGUCUGUUCUAAAAGCUUCUUUUUGUAUUGAGCAGAUGCCUUUUGGCGUCUAUUCUGCCUUGUCUUUGGCCUUCGACCACCUCUCUCAUGAUCCACUUUUCUAUCUUUAUCCCUUUUAUUGUCAUCAACGUCACUCUCAAGCAACUCUUCAAGUUCUAUCUCAAAAUCUGCAUCAUUAUCCUCAUUUUCAUCAUCAUCAUUUUCAUUACCUUGAGUUGACUGACCAUUACCAUCUCCACCCUGUAAAACAGCUGCAAGAAAUUUCCUGUAUUCUUCUUCAUCAUCAACAUUCUGAAGGUCAUCCUCAUCAUCAGUUUCUUGAAGGAAAGUCUCAAGUUCAUCGAGCGUAAAACUUGCAAGGGAAUAGCGAGCCCUAGUGCGCUUCCAAAUAGCAUCCUCAUCAUCCAAACUCAUUGCAGGUUUACUGAAGGUAUUCUCCUUCUCUCGAACACUUUCAUUUUCCGGUUGAGAGAUGGAAUCACAUUUCCUCUUCUUAGAUUUUCUAUUAAGGGGUCUUUGGAGUUGUUUUUCACUCUCAGGAGAAAACGCACUUUGCAUCACAACCUCCUCUCCAUGCUCAGAAUCUCCAACAGCAUAAUUUCGCACUUCACCAAUAGUUGGUUUAGAAGAAUUACCCUCCAAACCUUCGACUUCAGAGCUCAAACUCGAAGAAGCUUCUGGCGAAGGUGUUCCCUUCAAAAAGGGGUUGAAAUCUACGUCUUCCUCCUCGUCUUCAUCCUCAUUCUCAUUUUCAUCCGCUUCCUGAGGCUUUGAACCACUCUCGUCGAUAUCCAUGGAGCCAUUUUGUUGAUCACUCGUUUGCCCAUUGAUACAUGAAGACAUUUUGAAACAAAAACAUCCAAUACAAUCCAAUCAACCCUAAUAAGCAAAUCCAAAUAACACAAGUUAACAGAAACUUAAAGCUAAACAAAACAUCGUUGAAAUAUCAAUUGCAUUUGGUGUAACGAACACCAAGAACCCUGGAGAGGCAGGAAAGCUGAAUUGGAAACUCAUAAACAAUGAAAAUGCACAUCGGGAACAAUUUUCACAACAUGUGAGACGCCAAAUCAAACAGUAAAUAAUAAAGAUGAAGAACCUUUGAAUUGGAGAAGAGAUUGAAAUUGUUGGAUAUUGCUACGAGGAACCAGUUGCUUGUGCUGGCGGACUGCUGAGCCUGAGUUUAUACUAACAGAGGGUGGAAACCUCGCCGUUCCACGGGGAUUUAAAACGAGAAGCCGUUUUAUGGAAGAAGGAACGAUGCCGUGGAGAGAAAAC
Molecule: unclassified non-coding RNA, 8215 nt
Filed under: Hevea brasiliensis (rubber tree)
Lineage: Eukaryota; Viridiplantae; Streptophyta; Magnoliopsida; Malpighiales; Euphorbiaceae
Source: RNAcentral